GCCCGUCUAGCUCAGUCGGUAGAGCGCAAGGCUCUUAACCUUGUGGUCGUGGGUUCGACCCCCACAGUGGGCG
This 73-nucleotide transfer RNA is filed under the name Naegleria gruberi. RNAcentral describes it as "tRNA-Lys (CTT) (tRNA-Lys-CTT-2-1)". It matches the Rfam family "tRNA". From Rfam's summary of the family: Transfer RNA (tRNA) molecules are approximately 80 nucleotides in length. Their secondary structure includes four short double-helical elements and three loops (D, anti-codon, and T loops). Further hydrogen bonds mediate the characteristic L-shaped molecular structure. tRNAs have two regions of fundamental functional importance: the anti-codon, which is responsible for specific mRNA codon recognition, and the 3' end, to which the tRNAs corresponding amino acid is attached (by aminoacyl-tRNA synthetases). tRNAs cope with the degeneracy of the genetic code in two manners: having more than one tRNA (with a specific anti-codon) for a particular amino acid; and 'wobble' base-pairing, i.e. permitting non-standard base-pairing at the 3rd anti-codon position. The record is from Rfam by way of RNAcentral. Lineage: Eukaryota; Heterolobosea; Eutetramitea; Acrasida; Naegleriidae.